CAGGGCCGGCCGGCAGCCGCUGCUCUUUCACAGCCCCAGACCCUGCGCGGCCUGCCGGCGGCUGGCGACCUCCCUUCCCCUCCCGAGGCGCCCGAGCCUCUGAUCCCCUCCCGGGGCGCCUGUGGCCUCCCUUCCCCUCCCGGGGCGCCCGAGCCUCUGAUCCCCUCCCGGGGCGCCUGUGGCCUCCCUUCCCCUCCUGGGGCGCCUGUGACCUCCCGUCCCCUCCCGCGGCUCCCGCGGCCUCCGACCUCCUGCCGGGGCGCCUCAAGGGCCCCUGCCCCACAUCAGAGGGUCUUGCGGUUUCCUGGUUUGGUUCAACAUCUCUGAAACCCAGAGGUGAAGAAGAAACCAUGGAGGAGAAUCCGAAACAGUCUUCCAGAUCAGACCUCUAAAAUAACUAAAUUCUUGUUAAUCAUUAGAUUCUCCCUUUUAUUUAAUGUGUAAGUCCAAGGGGAUUCCUUCUGCUUCCCCAUUCAAUUAGACAGCAACCUCUUCCUCUAAAGUUCUCUCAUCUGAAGCCAUCUGAGCAGGAGCACUUUGACCAACUCAAUUCUGCUCUGAUCUGGACUACUUCUCCCAGUUUAGGGAUCAGUAAAUUGCCAAACACUUCCCAAUUUAUCCCUGAAGGAAUCCCUGAAAAAUGAUGGCCUUUAUUCUCCCUCAGAGAGGGAGCUUGAGCUCUUGAGAAAGACAUGAAGGCCCUUGCCGCUGUCGGCAUCACUCCUUCCUCCCUAAUCCGGUCAGUUAAUUGCUGAGUGCUCGCUUCCUGAUCUGCGUGAUGGCCUCGGAACCGGGCUGCGUGUAGACCUGGGUGACUAUCAGCUCAGCUCCCAAGUGGAGGGCCUCGGAAGACGCUCUGUGCGGCCUACUAACAAGCACGAGCCUCUGGGGAACAACGAAUGUGUCCAGGGAUGGCAGGCUCCACA
RNAcentral lists this long non-coding RNA (926 nucleotides) under Homo sapiens (human). RNAcentral describes it as "HSALNT0139288". Lineage: Eukaryota; Metazoa; Chordata; Mammalia; Primates; Hominidae. The record is from RNAcentral.